This 322-nucleotide ribosomal RNA is filed under the name uncultured eukaryote. Its description in RNAcentral is "partial 18S ribosomal RNA". It matches the Rfam family "Eukaryotic small subunit ribosomal RNA", at positions 1470 to 1796 of the family's 1831-position model. The record is from RNAcentral.
CCCUUAGAUGUUCUGGGCCGCACGCGUGCUACACUGAGUGGAUCAGCGGGUCAGGUUGCGCGAAAGCGUUUCCUAAUCUUUAAAUCCGCUCGUGAUGGGGAUUGACGGUUGCAAUUUUCCGUCAUGAACGAGGAAUACCUUGUAAGCGCGGGUCAUCAUCCCGCGCUGAAUACGUCCCUGCCCUUUGUACACACCGCCCGUCGCUCCUAUCGAUUGAGUGGUCCGGUGAGGCUUUGGGAUCUGAGCGGAAAGAGCGUUUCGCUGUUUCUGCCCGGAAAACUCAGUCGAACCUUAUCAUUUAGAGGAAGGAGAAGUCGUAACA